GACGAACGCUGGCGGCGUGCUUAACACAUGCAAGUCGAACGGAAAGGCCCUGAUUUUGUGGGGUGCUCGAGUGGCGAACGGGUGAGUAAAACGUGAGGAAACUGGCCUGUACUCUGGGAUAAAUUCAGGAAAAAGGGGCUAAUACAGGAUAGGAGCUCCUGCAGCAUGGUGUGGGUUGGAAAGGUUCGGUGGAUGGGGAUGGACUGGCGGCGUAUCAGCUAGUUGGUGGGGUAGUGGCUGACCAAGGCUUUGAGGGGUAGCCGGCCUGAGAGGGUGACCGGCCCCAUUGGGCCAGAGGAGGCGGCCGGACUGCAACGGGGGGCAGCGGUGCGAGAUAGUGCGCGAUACGCGGAGGCAGGAUGCAGCAUCUCCGCGUCCUAGAUGUCUGCUUUCAGGGUAUAACCCGCAUUCGCCUGUAACGUAGAGUGCUUGACGGUAACGAGUAAGAAAGCACCGGCUAACUACGUG
This 468-nucleotide ribosomal RNA is filed under the name uncultured bacterium. Its description in RNAcentral is "partial 16S ribosomal RNA". It matches the Rfam family "Bacterial small subunit ribosomal RNA", at positions 28 to 507 of the family's 1533-position model. The record is from RNAcentral.